UGAACGCUGGCGGCGUGCCUAAUACAUGCAAGUCGAGCGAACGGACGAGAAGCUUGCUUCUCUGAUGUUAGCGGCGGACGGGUGAGUAACACGUGGAUAACCUACCUAUAAGACUGGGAUAACUUCGGGAAACCGGAGCUAAUACCGGAUAAUAUUUUGAACCGCAUGGUUCAAAAGUGAAAGACGGUCUUGCUGUCACUUAUAGAUGGAUCCGCGCUGCAUUAGCUAGUUGGUAAGGUAACGGCUUACCAAGGCAACGAUGCAUAGCCGACCUGAGAGGGUGAUCGGCCACACUGGAACUGAGACACGGUCCAGACUCCUACGGGAGGCAGCAGUAGGGAAUCUUCCGCAAUGGGCGAAAGCCUGACGGAGCAACGCCGCGUGAGUGAUGAAGGUCUUCGGAUCGUAAAACUCUGUUAUUAGGGAAGAACAUAUGUGUAAGUAACUGUGCACAUCUUGACGGUACCUAAUCAGAAAGCCACGACUAACUACGUGCCAGCAGCCGCGGUAAUACGUAGGUGGCAAGCGUUAUCCGGAAUUAUUGGGCGUAAAGCGCGCGUAGGCGGUUUUUUAAGUCUGAUGUGAAAGCCCACGGCUCAACCGUGGAGGGUCAUUGGAAACUGGAAAACUUGAGUGCAGAAGAGGAAAGUGGAAUUCCAUGUGUAGCGGUGAAAUGCGCAGAGAUAUGGAGGAACACCAGUGGCGAAGGCGACUUUCUGGUCUGUAACUGACGCUGAUGUGCGAAAGCGUGGGGAUCAAACAGGAUUAGAUACCCUGGUAGUCCACGCCGUAAACGAUGAGUGCUAAGUGUUAGGGGGUUUCCGCCCCUUAGUGCUGCAGCUAACGCAUUAAGCACUCCGCCUGGGGAGUACGACCGCAAGGUUGAAACUCAAAGGAAUUGACGGGGACCCGCACAAGCGGUGGAGCAUGUGGUUUAAUUCGAAGCAACGCGAAGAACCUUACCAAAUCUUGACAUCCUUUGACAACUCUAGAGAUAGAGCCUUCCCCUUCGGGGGACAAAGUGACAGGUGGUGCAUGGUUGUCGUCAGCUCGUGUCGUGAGAUGUUGGGUUAAGUCCCGCAACGAGCGCAACCCUUAAGCUUAGUUGCCAUCAUUAAGUUGGGCACUCUAAGUUGACUGCCGGUGACAAACCGGAGGAAGGUGGGGAUGACGUCAAAUCAUCAUGCCCCUUAUGAUUUGGGCUACACACGUGCUACAAUGGACAAUACAAAGGGCAGCGAAACCGCGAGGUCAAGCAAAUCCCAUAAAGUUGUUCUCAGUUCGGAUUGUAGUCUGCAACUCGACUACAUGAAGCUGGAAUCGCUAGUAAUCGUAGAUCAGCAUGCUACGGUGAAUACGUUCCCGGGUCU
Molecule: ribosomal RNA, 1370 nt
Filed under: uncultured bacterium
Lineage: Bacteria
Description: 16S ribosomal RNA
Rfam family: Bacterial small subunit ribosomal RNA
Source: RNAcentral